This 266-nucleotide ribosomal RNA is filed under the name uncultured bacterium. RNAcentral's name for it is "partial 16S ribosomal RNA". It matches the Rfam family "Bacterial small subunit ribosomal RNA", at positions 793 to 1055 of the family's 1533-position model. The record is from RNAcentral.
GUCCACGCUGUAAACGAUGUGUGCUAGACGUUGGGGAGCCUAGCUCUUCGGUGUCGCAGCUAACGCUUUAAGCACACCGCCUGGGGAGUACGGCCGCAAGGUUAAAACUCAAAGGAAUUGACGGGGGCCCGCACAAGCGGUGGAGCAUGUGGUUUAAUUCGACGCAACGCGAAGAACCUUACCAGCCCUUGACAUGUCCGGUAUGGGCGGGGAGACCUCGUUCUUCAGUUCGGCUGGCCGGAACACAGGUGCUGCAUGGCUGUCGU